This 879-nucleotide ribosomal RNA is filed under the name Suberoteratosphaeria suberosa. RNAcentral describes it as "eukaryotic LSU rRNA". It matches the Rfam family "Eukaryotic large subunit ribosomal RNA", at positions 60 to 972 of the family's 3401-position model. Lineage: Eukaryota; Fungi; Ascomycota; Dothideomycetes; Mycosphaerellales; Teratosphaeriaceae. The record is from RNAcentral.
AGAAACCAACAGGGAUUGCCCUAGUAACGGCGAGUGAAGCGGCAACAGCUCAAAUUUGAAAUCUGGCGCAAGCCCGAGUUGUAAUUUGUAGAGGAUGCUUCAGGGCAGCGGCCGGUCUAAGUUCCUUGGAACAGGACGUCAUAGAGGGUGAGAAUCCCGUAUGCGACCGGUUGGCACCCGUCACGUAGCUCCUUCGACGAGUCGAGUUGUUUGGGAAUGCAGCUCUAAAUGGGAGGUAAAUGCCUUCUAAAGCUAAAUACCGGCCAGAGACCGAUAGCGCACAAGUAGAGUGAUCGAAAGAUGAAAAGCACUUUGGAAAGAGAGUUAAAAAGCACGUGAAAUUGUUGAAAGGGAAGCGCAUGCAACCAGACUUGCCGGCGGUGUUCAACCGGUCUUCUGACCGGUCUACUCGCCGCCGGCAGGCCAACAUCAUUUGGGAGCGCCGGAUAAAGGUGGGAGGAAUGUGGCCCCUCGGGGUGUUAUAGCCUCCUACGCAAUACGGCGCCUCCCGAGUGAGGUCCGCGCUUCGGCUAGGAUGUUGGCGUAAUGGUUGUCUGCGGCCCGUCUUGAAACACGGACCAAGGAGUCUAACAUCUAUGCGAGUGUUCGGGUGUCAAACCCCUACGCGUAAUGAAAGUGAACGGAGGUGGGAACUUUUUGUGCACCAUCGACCGAUCCUGAUGUCUUCGGAUGGAUUUGAGUAAGAGCAUAGCUGUUGGGACCCGAAAGAUGGUGAACUAUGCCUGAAUAGGGUGAAGCCAGAGGAAACUCUGGUGGAGGCUCGCAGCGGUUCUGACGUGCAAAUCGAUCGUCAAAUUUGGGUAUAGGGGCGAAAGACUAAUCGAACCAUCUAGUAGCUGGUUCCUGCCGAAGUUUCCC